CUGAAGUCAAAUCCUGUGGCUCAACCACAGUUCGCUUUGGAAACUGAAGAACUAGAGUGCGGGAGAGGUAAGCGGAAUUCCAUAUGUAGCGGUGAAAUGCACAGAUAUAUGGAGGAACACCGGUGGCGAAGGCGGCUUACCAGCCCGAUACUGACGCUCAGUCACGAAAGCGUGGGGAGCAAAUAGGCUUAGAUACCCUAGUAGUCCACGCCGUAAACGUUGAGGACCUGAUGCCGGAGUAUUUCGGUGUCGUAGCUAACGCGUUAAGUCCUCCGCCUGGGUACUACGUUCGCAAGAAUAAAACUUAAAGGAAUUGACGGGGGCCCGCACAAGCAGUGGAGCAUGUGGUUUAAUUCGUCGCUACGCGAAAAACCUUACCAGGGUUUGACAUCCCGCUAAAAGUCUUGGAAACAAGAUUAUAGUUAUAGCGGUGAAAGGUGGUGCAUGGUUGUCGUCAGCUCGUGUCGUGAGAUGUUGGGUUAAGUCCCCUAACGAGCGCAACCCUUGUCUCUAUUUGCCAUCAUUAAGUUGGGAACUAUAGAGAGACUGCCGGUGCAAACCGGAGGAAGAUGGGGAUGACGUCAAAUCAUCAUGCCCCUUAUGCCCUGGGCCACACACGUGCUACAAUGGCCGGUACAGAGAGAAGCAAUCCCGUGAGGAGGAGCAAAUCUCACAAAGCCGGUCUCAGUUCGGAUUGGAGUCUGCAACUCGACUCCAUGAAGCUGGAAUUGCUAGUAAUCGCAGAUCAGCAUUGCUGCGGUGAAUACGUUCCCGGGCCUUGUACACACUGCCCGUCACACCAUGAGAGUCGGCAAUACUCGAAGUCGUUAUCUUAACCCGCAAGGGAGGGAGGCGCCUAAGGUAGGGCUGAUGAUUGGGGUUAAGUCGUAACAAGGUAUCCCUACGGGAACGUGGGGAUG
This 920-nucleotide ribosomal RNA is filed under the name human gut metagenome. Its description in RNAcentral is "bacterial SSU rRNA". It matches the Rfam family "Bacterial small subunit ribosomal RNA", at positions 589 to 1520 of the family's 1533-position model. The record is from RNAcentral.